UACGUAGGCAGCAAGCGUUGUUCGGAGUUACUGGCGUAAAGGGUGCGUAGGCGGUUGUUUAAGUUUGGUGUGAAAUCUCCCGGCUCAACUGGGAGGGUGCGCCGAAUACUGAAUGACUUGGAGUGCGGGAGAGGUGAGUGGAAUUCCUGGUGUAGCGGUGAAAUGCGUAGAUAUCAGGAGGAACACCGGUGGUGUAGACGGCUCACUGGACCGUAACUGACGCUGAGACACGAAGCGUGGGUAGCAAACAGG
This 252-nucleotide ribosomal RNA is filed under the name uncultured bacterium. Its description in RNAcentral is "partial 16S ribosomal RNA". It matches the Rfam family "Bacterial small subunit ribosomal RNA", at positions 524 to 776 of the family's 1533-position model. The record is from RNAcentral.